RNAcentral lists this ribosomal RNA (398 nucleotides) under uncultured bacterium. RNAcentral describes it as "partial 16S ribosomal RNA". It matches the Rfam family "Bacterial small subunit ribosomal RNA", at positions 523 to 918 of the family's 1533-position model. The record is from RNAcentral.
AUACGUAGGGUGCGAGCGUUGUUCGGAAUUACUGGGCGUAAAGAGCUCGUAGGCGGUUUGUCGCGUCGUAUGUGAAAUUCCGGGGCUUAACUCGGGGCGUGCAGGCGAUACGGGCAUAACUUGAGUACUGUAGGGGAGACUGGAAUUCUUGGUGUAGCGGUGAACUGCGCAGAUAUCAGGAGGAACACCGGUGGCGAAGGGGGGUCCCUGGGCAGAAACUGACGCUGAUGAACGAAAGCGUGGGGAGCGAACAGGAUUAGAUACCCUGGUAGUCCAUGCCGUAAACGGUGGGCGCUAGGUGUAGGGGUCUUCCACGACUUCUGUGCCGUAGCUAACGCAUUAAGCGCCCCGCCUGGGGAGUACGGCCGCAAGGCUAAAACUUAAAGGAAUUGACGGGG